CUGGCGGCGUGCCUAACACAUGCAAGUCGAACGGAGUAUUAGCUGAAAUUUCGGAUGGAAGUUGAAUACACUUAGUGGCGGACGGGUGAGUAACGCGUGGGCAACCUACCCAUAAGCGGGGGAUAACAGUUGGAAACGGCUGCUAAUACCGCAUAAACUAUAGAGGUUGCAUGACCUUAAUAGUAAAGAUGGCCUCUUAACAAUGCUAUCACUUAUGGAUGGGCCCGCGUCUGAUUAGCUAGUUGGUGGGGUAAAAGCCUACCAAGGCAACGAUCAGUAGCCGGCCUGAGAGGGUGGACGGCCACACUGGGACUGAGACACGGCCCAGACUCCUACGGGAGGCAGCAGUGGGGAAUAUUGCGCAAUGGGGGCAACCCUGACGCAGCGACGCCGCCGUGAGCGAAGAAGGCCUUAGGGUCGUAAAGCUCUGUUUUAAGGGACGAAUGUUCAUGUUAGUAACUGAGCAUGGAAUGACGGUACCUUAAGAGGAAGCCCCGGCUAACUACGUGCCAGCCGCGGC
RNAcentral lists this ribosomal RNA (520 nucleotides) under uncultured bacterium. Its description in RNAcentral is "bacterial SSU rRNA". It matches the Rfam family "Bacterial small subunit ribosomal RNA", at positions 36 to 518 of the family's 1533-position model. The record is from RNAcentral.